UACGUAGGGGGCUAGCGUUGUCCGGAAUCAUUGGGCGUAAAGAGCGUGUAGGCGGCCAAACAGGUCAGCUGUGAAAACUCGAGGCUCAACCUCGAGACGUCGGUUGAAACCGUUUGGCUAGAGUCCGGAAGAGGAGAGUGGAAUUCCCGGUGUAGCGGUGAAAUGCGCAGAUAUCGGGAAGAACACCCGUGGCGAAGGCGGCUCUCUGGGACGGUACUGACGCUGAGACGCGAAAGCGUGGGGAGCGAACAGG
RNAcentral lists this ribosomal RNA (253 nucleotides) under uncultured bacterium. Its description in RNAcentral is "partial 16S ribosomal RNA". It matches the Rfam family "Bacterial small subunit ribosomal RNA", at positions 524 to 776 of the family's 1533-position model. The record is from RNAcentral.